GUCUAUGGCCAUACCACCCUGAACAUAGCUGAUCUCAGAAGCUAAGCAAGUCAGGCCUAGUUAGUACUUGGAUGGGAGAAAUAUUAUUAACAAACACU
This 98-nucleotide ribosomal RNA is filed under the name Jaculus jaculus (lesser Egyptian jerboa). The record is from RNAcentral. Lineage: Eukaryota; Metazoa; Chordata; Mammalia; Rodentia; Dipodidae.